AGGAGUAAUCACAGGCAGAUGUCCCAGGCUCAUGCUAUUAUUCAAGGUCUGGCCUCUUCCUUUGUUUGUCUAGGCUGUUGGGAAUGUUUGUACUUGGACCCAACUGACCAGACCGGAAUCGAUAACACUUGACACCUAAACACAAUGAAAGUAGAAAAUCAAACAGAGCACUGUCCUCAAUUUCUUUGUCAACCAAGAAAAGAAAUUAAAAAUUUCACACAGACAGACAUGAAUUCACAGAAAUUUACCUAAUCAAGAAAUACUCUUCAAAGAAUGGAAUUCCAUGUUGCUUCCGCCAGCAGGCCUGAACAUAUUAGUUAAAGUCCAGAGUAUUUGAGAUAUCAGUGAACAUCUACUGACAAUGGAUCAAACAUUAACUUAUCUCCACCAGCCUUACCAAUCUGUUUUUCACACAGUUAAUUACAAUAAUAAUAUAAAAAUGCUAACAAAAAGAAUGAACACAACAUAAAAUUAAAAGAACCAAAUGACUCACAGCAGCAACUCCUUUACUCUGAGGAUUUUUUCUUUAAACUGUACUCUGAAACCCUCCCUGCAACAAAAUUGAUUCAGCAAAUAUAUCAAAAUAAAUAACUUUAAAAAAAAACAAUAAUUAAUGUUUAAAUUGACAAAGGAACAAAAAUAAUAUACAUGAAAAUGAAGAAAGCACUGGGCGGCCUCUUAGGUUUGUUAAGGUCCUUGGCAGCCUUGCCCUUUUUAGUUUUGCGCACGAAAUGCCUAUCACCAUUAACAAAAAAUUGAUUCGGCAAAUAUAUCAAAAUCAAUAAUUUUAAAAAAUAUAUAUAAUUAAUGUUUAAAUUGAUAAAGGAAAAAAAAUAAUAUACAUGAAAAUGAAGAAAGCACUGGGCGGCUCUUAGGUUUGUUAAGGUCCUUGGCAGCCUUGCCCUUUUUAGUUUUGCGCACGGAAUGCCUAUCACCAUUAACAAAAAA
RNAcentral lists this long non-coding RNA (948 nucleotides) under Panax ginseng (ginseng). RNAcentral describes it as "long non-coding RNA (PGIN_LNC002243)". The record is from RNAcentral. Lineage: Eukaryota; Viridiplantae; Streptophyta; Magnoliopsida; Apiales; Araliaceae.